ACACAGAGGGAUAUUUGUCAUUGCAGUGAUAAAACUGUGAGCAGCUUGGAGUUCAGUCAUGCCAGGGAGAGAAUAUGAUACUUUACACGAACACGUCAAGGUUUGGCAGCAAAAAGAAAACCAGGUGAGGAUAAUAUUCCCAGCCUCAAGAGAUCAUAUUCUUUGGAAAAAUGAUAGGAGAAAAAAACAUCAGGGCUAUUAUCUUCUGUACUUAGAGGAAGACUGACGGAGAAAAUAUCUCCCCGAUCUGCCUGACAGCUGACUGUAUUGCAGGACAAAUUUUCUGUUGGGAAGGAAGUGACCUGUCUUACCCUGUACUGCAAGAUUACAAGAGUCAAAACAGCAAGACUGAAUGGACAGAGAUGGGAUCAGGGCGUCAGAAGCCUCAGUCAUGUGAAACUAACCAAGCAGUGGUGUCUUGAAAAGAAAUAUGUAGUGUCUGUAGCUCUUCAGGAAAUCUCAGCAUGGAUAUCCUGUUUUCUCAACCUGUAAUAAUGAACUGCUCUACCUCCUUUUCACUAUGCACAGGAUAUACAUGACUCCACCAUCUCUGUGUAUUUUGGGUUUUGCUCACUUAUUUUUAAAGUAGAAUAUACACAGUCUCUAAAAAGCAUGAGUCAGUGUCCUCUAUUAAUGUGCUCUUUUACCCUUUCUAAACUGGCAGUUUAUGACAACAGAACCACUUUUUCACUGUAGGAGAGUUAAACCUAUUUUGAAAAUUAUAAUAAGUCUUAGCAGACUUAUUCUGCAGCAAAUGUCCCUUUUCAUGUAAUUCUAGUAAUUGAUUUGGCAGACUUUGAAAGAAUAAAAUACAUGUUAAAUUAUUGUCUUAGAGACUACAACAUUUAACUUGAAAGUCAUAUGACAAUUGUCAGGGACUAUGUUUGUAGGCACAGUGAAGGAAGAAUUCCUUUAGGAAAAAUUGAGAUUUUAAUUAUUGACUUCUAGGAAGACAUGAUUAACAAGGGCUUCUCAUCCUCAGUUAUCAAAUCCCAAGUGUCUGCUCCUGUAUCUGCUGUUUCUUAAGUCAAAUCCCCAAACUUCCUUCCAGUUCUCAGCAUAGCCUCAUUAAAUCAACUGUACUUAAACCUUCAGUAGAUUAGAACUUGUUAGGAGAAUGUAGAUGUAACACUUGAUUACCUUUCUAAAGCUGAUGACAAGAAUUGAUUUUUAGAGAUUUGUCACCCCUGGCAUAGCCAACAAUCCACCUCCUCCCUAUCCCCAACUUUCUCAUGCAUGAGGAAUUAACCCAUGCAUUUAGCAGACUUCCAGUAAAUAACCUAUUCUGCUCAUAGGCAAUUGUUGAAGUUUUGCCUCAGAAUAUGAAUGUUCCUAAAAUUCUGCAAUCUACUGAUACCAUAUGUCUUGUAUUAUCUUUAGAAAAGUAUCACCACCAAGAAAAGAGGUUGUACACCAUCACAGCAGGAGGCUUUGUGCUAUGUAAUUAGACCUAAGACAAGACCUAAAUUUUAUUGAGGCCAAGGACAGCUACACCACUGCUGUUUGCACUGGAAUAUUAAUAGACAAAAGACCUAAGUAUACUGUUGAAAAACUGGUUAUAAUGGACUUGAUUUAUUUUGUUAAGUAUGCAUACGUUUUCUGCGAUGCAAAGCACACUAAUUCAUCAAGAAAAAUAAGCAAA
Molecule: long non-coding RNA, 1642 nt
Filed under: Gallus gallus (chicken)
Lineage: Eukaryota; Metazoa; Chordata; Aves; Galliformes; Phasianidae
Description: long non-coding RNA NONGGAT003735
Source: RNAcentral